AUUGAACGCUGGCGGCAUGCCUUACACAUGCAAGUCGAACGGUAACAGGUCUUCGGAUGCUGACGAGUGGCGAACGGGUGAGUAAUACAUCGGAACGUGCCCGAUCGUGGGGGAUAACGAAGCGAAAGCUUUGCUAAUACCGCAUAAGAUCUACGGAUGAAAGCAGGGGACCGCAAGGCCUUGCGCGAACGGAGCGGCCGAUGGCAGAUUAGGUAGUUGGUGGGAUAAAAGCUUACCAAGCCGACGAUCUGUAGCUGGUCUGAGAGGACGACCAGCCACACUGGGACUGAGACACGGCCCAGACUCCUACGGGAGGCAGCAGUGGGGAAUUUUGGACAAUGGGCGAAAGCCUGAUCCAGCCAUGCCGCGUGAAGGAUGAAGGCCUUCGGGUUGUAAACUGCUUUUGUACGGAACGAAAAGACUCUGGUUAAUACCUGGGGUCCAUGACGGUACCGUAAGAAUAAGCACCGGCUAACUACGUG
This 482-nucleotide ribosomal RNA is filed under the name uncultured bacterium. Its description in RNAcentral is "partial 16S ribosomal RNA". It matches the Rfam family "Bacterial small subunit ribosomal RNA", at positions 30 to 507 of the family's 1533-position model. The record is from RNAcentral.